UCUGUAAUUGCAAGGUGUGCUUACAAGGGGAUAAUAUGAUAAAGGUAAGAAUACGGGAGAUACCUGUCUUAGAUAAGUUGCAAUAUCUCUACUGUCUUUUACCUUCAGUGCUUCCCGUAGUUAAGCAGAUCCAUCAUGAACAAUGUUCUGAAGUAGAACUGGAGAAAAAACUUCGUGGUAUGAAGAUUCUGAUUUUCCUUUGGCAUCUGGUGUUCAAGGGCAUGUUCACUUGUGGAAAACUGGGGUAGUUUUAUGUAAAAAUUUUCUAAGAAAAUUGGAAAACAGAGUUUAGUGUUUGUAUGUGCCAGUUUUCCAAACGUAGAAGUUUCCCAAUUCUCCAAAAUUUAACUAAGAUUUGGAAACUGUUUUCCUUUAUAAUAAAGAUUCUGUUUUCCAACCAUUUUACAAAUGGAAAACCAUGACUUUUUUUAAUACCAAAAUUAUGCUAUAACUUUUUAAUUUCUAAAAUUGAAUGGUUGUUUAGAAAAAUAUUUAUUUACAAUG
This 504-nucleotide unclassified non-coding RNA is filed under the name Hevea brasiliensis (rubber tree). Lineage: Eukaryota; Viridiplantae; Streptophyta; Magnoliopsida; Malpighiales; Euphorbiaceae. The record is from RNAcentral.